Molecule: non-coding RNA, 150 nt
Filed under: Postia placenta Mad-698-R
Lineage: Eukaryota; Fungi; Basidiomycota; Agaricomycetes; Polyporales; Adustoporiaceae
Source: RNAcentral
UGUUCGUCCUGGCGCAGACCUUUCCGUGGUCCUCGGGAUAAGUACUCUCUGGCUCAAGAAAGGCGUAUCAGCGCCCAAUACACGUCUUUCAAUUUGUUCCUUACUGUAUUGUGCCUUGAUACGUUGCCGGUAGGGGAAACUAGCAUGCGC